Molecule: non-coding RNA, 1098 nt
Organism: Rattus norvegicus (Norway rat)
Lineage: Eukaryota; Metazoa; Chordata; Mammalia; Rodentia; Muridae
Source: RefSeq, a predicted model, not a curated record
AAGGCUGAAGGCUCUUCCGGUAGGGCUAGGGGCGGGAAGGGCGGACGGCCGCGGCCCGGAAGUGAGUUGGCGGUUGUUUCGUUCAUCUAAGUAAGGUCCUAAGGUGUUUGCGCACCGUCGCUGUGGUCUUCUGAGCCUGCUCAGCUUGAGGUGUUCAGGGACUUAAGUGAGAUAGCUCAUUUAAGAUGCAGAAAGUCGCAUAGAAUUCAGAGCAGGUGCAGUGAGGGAAAGAAACAAGCGAAGUGCUUUUAAGUCACGCCCACCCGGUGAGCCGGGGGAAGCUUCCUGCCCCGAGCAGAGCCCCCCCCCCCCUUUCCCUGAUCAUUAAGGUGCACCCGAAUAGGUUCGAGAUUUGAAAACUCAUUUUGAGGGGUUGGGGAUUUAGCUCAGUGGUAGAGCGCUUGCCUAGGAAGCGCAAGGCCCUGGGUUCGAUCCCCAACUCCGAAAAAAAGAACCAAAAAAAAAAAAAAAAAAAACUCAUUUUGAAAUAUCAGCUGUGGGCAUUUCUUUCCCAUAACGUGGCUUCCAAUGCAAGUAUCCGUAUGUUUACUGCUCUUGAGACGGCAAAAGAUCUAGAGUUGUUUAAUAACUCCAACUAUUGUCUCAUGUUACUUUCUGCUGUCGUGCUUCCAAGUCUAGUUAGUUAACAUUGGAAUGCACUCUCACUGGAUGAAGUGGGCAUGUCUGUAAUUUCAGCCUUUCGGAAGUGGUGCAAGCAGAUUAUCAGUUCAAGACCUGAUUUGGCCAUAUACGAGGCCACCAGGGCUUCACAAGACCAGCUAAAAACCACAGCAUGGUUCCUGCCACCUGUCAGAUAUCUCAAAACCACCUGUACACCAACUCUAGAGUAUCGUACACCCAAUUCUGGACUCCUGUACCCACAACUUUUUAACACCAAGACAAAAAUCAAAAACGUUUACCAAGUUCCACACUGGAUAUACAGCUCAGUGGUGUAUCACUUCCACCGUGUACCUAAAUAAGUGACUACAAACUUUCAUAAGGAUAUAUCGACAGUAUCUGGGGAACUGAUUGUGGGGCAUCUCUACAGAUGAGGUUCAGAAAAGUGCCUUAAAUGAAACCCCCAUCCCAUUUACUGCA